RNAcentral lists this long non-coding RNA (211 nucleotides) under Mytilus galloprovincialis (Mediterranean mussel). The record is from RNAcentral. Lineage: Eukaryota; Metazoa; Mollusca; Bivalvia; Mytilida; Mytilidae.
AAAUCAAUGAAAUUUAAACACAAUGUUUAUGACCACAAAAGGAAGGUUGGUAUUGAUUUUGGGAGUUUAGGUCCCAACAGUUUAGGAAUUAAUAGCCAACAAGGGACCCAAACAAGCAUUUUUCUUGGUUUUCGCACCAUAACGUUAGUAUAAGUAAAUAGAAAUCUAUUAAAUUUAAACACAAGGUUUAUGACCAUAAAAGGAAGGUUGG